GUUUGAUCAUGGCUCAGGAUGAACGCUAGCGGCAGGCCUAAUACAUGCAAGUCGAACGGUGUCUUCGGACAUAGUGGCGCACGGGUGCGUAACACGUAUGCAACCUACCUUACAUUGGGGGAUAGCCUUUCGAAAGGGAGAUUAAUACCGCAUAAGACAGUAGUCUGGCAUCAGACAGCUGUUAAAGAUUUAUCGAUGUAAGCUGGGCAUGCGACCAAUUAGUUAGUUGGCGAGGUAAUGGCUCACCAAGACUAUGAUUGGUAGGGGAACUGAGAGGUCAAUCCCCCACACUGGCACUGAGAUACGGGCCAGACUCCUACGGGAGGCAGCAGUAGGGAAUAUUGGGCAAUGGACGCAAGUCUGACCCAGCCAUGCCGCGUGCAGGAAGAAGGCGUUAUGCGUUGUAAACUGCUUUUAUACAGGAAGAAACGACUCUUGCGAGAGGCAUUGACGGUACUGUAUGAAUAAGCACCGGCUAACUCCGUGCCAGCAGCCGCGGUAAUACGGAGGGUGCAAGCGUUGUCCGGAUUUAUUGGGUUUAAAGGGUGCGCAGGUGGUUUAUUAAGUCAGUGGUGAAAGACGGUCGCUCAACGAUUGCAGUGCCAUUGAAACUGGUAGACUUGAGUAAAGUAGAGGUGGGCGGAAUUGAUAGUGUAGCGGUGAAAUGCAUAGAUAUUAUCAAGAACUCCAAUUGCGUAGCAGCUCACUUGGCUUUUACUGACACUCAUGCACGAAAGUGUGGGUAUCAAACAGGAUUAGAUACCCUGGUAGUCCACACUGUAAACGAUGAUACUAAGUGUCGGCCGAAUCUGGUCGUGCACAGCGAAAGCGUUAAGUUAUCCACCUGGG
RNAcentral lists this ribosomal RNA (849 nucleotides) under uncultured bacterium. RNAcentral describes it as "bacterial SSU rRNA". It matches the Rfam family "Bacterial small subunit ribosomal RNA", at positions 11 to 877 of the family's 1533-position model. The record is from RNAcentral.